UCGUUCGGAUAAAUGCAAAAAAGUACCCAACGUAUGAAAAUUUUCUUAUUUUUUUCUCGUAAAAGUUUUCCUUCGACGGAACAGUGACAUGGAUAGAUGGAACAGCUACAUGGCUUUUAUGGCCGAAAAUUUAAAAAAAUAAAAUAAAAUAAUAUUACACAUCAUUAACUUUAAUUCAAAUUCAAAUGACUAGUUACAGAGAAAAAGAAAAAAAGAAACGGGACAGAGAAAGCUCAUCGCGUCUAAAAUUUCAAAUUUACCCAAAACUUGCUUUUCGAUUCUGAAAUUCGCAGUUCGAAUUCACAAUUCCUCUAACUUUCGAUUAUGAAACACAAAGCUCUUAAAACUCCCGCGUCUGAAAUCUCCCUCAAAUUCGCGGUUCAAGUUUUCCCUAAAUUUUCCCCAAAUUUUGGAGUGAAGAAAGAACAAGUUCGAUUCUGAUAUAGCAUGUCGAAUCUCGUGGUAUUGCUUAGGAUGUGGCAUGAUGGAGCGUUCGAAGUUAGAGGAGCUUUGUGUUCUUCGAUUGUUUCCUUAUGUUUCUUAUUUAUGUAAUUAGUCAUUUGAAUUAAUGUUAAUGAUAUGUAAUUUUAUUUCUUUUUCUUUAA
Salvia miltiorrhiza (redroot sage) is the source of this 605-nucleotide long non-coding RNA. RefSeq lists it as uncharacterized. The record is from RefSeq and is a predicted model, not a curated record. Lineage: Eukaryota; Viridiplantae; Streptophyta; Magnoliopsida; Lamiales; Lamiaceae. The transcript has 2 exons.